UCCUUGUAAAAAGAUGUGCCACCGAUUUCUGCAUCCAUUUGUGUUUGUGUUUUGCAGGAGACAUCCUGGAAUUGUUAUUGUGUCAUCCAGCAGGAAGGCACUGGUACAUCUGCCUGCAUGGAGGACACAUCUCUACACUGAGGCACAUCCUAACCAGGGGAGAGAGAUGCUGGGAGAAGCUGUUGCCAAGACGCUGAAGCCAGAAUUGAGAGGACCUGGAAGUGGGCAGUAGAGCACGGGAGAGAUGGAGGCUGAGUGGUCAGCCAGAUGCAACAAGAGAAGCCUGUGGAUCCUGGAGAGCUGCACAAAAUGAGACUGGAGUGAGGGCAGAAAAGAGCAUGGAGGGAAUGGUGGGAUGGAAGAGACGCUGAAACACACCAUGGAGAACAGCAGAGAAUGCAGCCUGAGGGAAAUGGCCUGUGCCCACUCCAGUAUGGACAGCAAAUCCCAAGGAUGCCAACCAAGGAAUUCCCAAGGAAUCCCAACCCUCGUGUAAAAGCAAGCAGUAAUUAUAAUUUCCAUACACACAGGUCACAGAUCAAACAUAAAAUAGCAACUUGUGAAGAUUAUUGAUUUUCUUUUGUGUACCCUUUAAUGAACAGGUAAAAUUCCUUUCUUUUCCAGAUGCCUAAAAUCAAGAGGAUGCAGAAAUGCCAGUUUUGUGGGCUCCUAACUAGGCUUGCAAUGCUGACAUAACACAUGGGGUGGGGAGGGGGGAAAGGAAGAAAGAUUUAAUAGUGAAAAUCCUGUGAAGGCUCUAAGGAGAGGGGAUGCUUUUGAGGUAGUAGCAGUGACACCAGGUGAACUGUAAUAAGUAACUCCCACUGCCAGGAAUGUUGUCCAGCCUUGGCAAGAAUAAUCUCUGCAUUCAAUACAAGAUUCUAUUUGCUUCCUGACUUAAGGACUGAUUGAUAUAUGAACACAUAAAAAUUAGGGUGUUUAAAAAUACAACACUAUUUGAAUUGUUUUGAAUCUUCCUGAUUCACUUGAGCACAGUACACUAACAAAAGACACAGUCUUUGCCUUACAUGCAGACUGGAUUCUUGCUUUGUAGAUAACAAUCUGCCCAGGAGCAGAUGACUGACAAGGAUCUUUUCACUGAAGGAUUGCAUUAAAUAUGGUUGUUUCUGCUCAGAUCCAAUGUAUGUAAAUUAUGCAUGUUAUAUAUGAAACCAUACUACAGUUAUAUAGGAGAAGUGAUUGCUCCCACUGUACAUAUUCUUUGGAGUUGUGUGACACAUGCACAAUCAAGCAUGACACAAGAAAAUUAAUCAAAGAAUAUUUAAAUAUACCUUAGAGAGCCCCUAACUUGUCUGAUGGUUUUACAGAAGAAAAACUAAUUGCAUCUGCACGACACAACAGUUUUCUAAGGGAUGGGUUCAUCAAUGCUUUUACUUUUUUCCUGAUAAACAUUUAAAACAGUUUACUUAAAUUGAUAAAAAAAGAAAAAUCUGAGAUGGCAGAAUGAUUUGUAUACAUUAAGGUUUCUUCCUUUUUAGGUAUUCUUACUUGUUCCUACUGACUUUCUGCAAUAUCAGCAAUGCACAGAAAUUCUUGACCUAUCAAGGUGGCAUCAGAGUGGAUAACAGCAGGCAUUUAUUCUUACAAAGACCUUGCACUUUUUCUAAGACUUAAAGUCAAACUAAUUAUAUAAAAUAAUACACUAAAAUCACUAAAAAUUCUUCUGACAAACAUAAUGAAGUUUGUUAUACUGAACACAUUUGGUUUUACUAAGACUAUGAGGUUUUCAUCUGUAAUGGUAUACACACCCUCUGAAUUCAUUCAUGUAAUUAUAAGAAAUUCUGUAAACUUUCUAGAUUACUGCUGUCUUGGAAAUUCUUAGUGUUCAGAAAUGAGCAUAAAGAACCAAAUAAAUACUUUAUUCUGUCAUGACUUAUCCA
Molecule: long non-coding RNA, 1901 nt
Organism: Parus major (Great Tit)
Lineage: Eukaryota; Metazoa; Chordata; Aves; Passeriformes; Paridae
Source: Ensembl